GGGUUCAUUGCUCAGUUGGUAAAGCACAAGGCUCUUAACCUUGUGGACAUGAAUUCA
RNAcentral lists this transfer RNA (57 nucleotides) under Triticum aestivum (bread wheat). It matches the Rfam family "tRNA", at positions 1 to 55 of the family's 71-position model. From Rfam's summary of the family: Transfer RNA (tRNA) molecules are approximately 80 nucleotides in length. Their secondary structure includes four short double-helical elements and three loops (D, anti-codon, and T loops). The record is from Rfam by way of RNAcentral. Lineage: Eukaryota; Viridiplantae; Streptophyta; Magnoliopsida; Poales; Poaceae. RNAcentral also lists the same sequence under 1 other name.